GGUUUCUUGGUGUAGUGGCUAUCACUUCGCCUUUUCACGGCAAAGUUUGCGAGAUCAAUCCUCACACUUUUUG
Molecule: non-coding RNA, 73 nt
Organism: Rhizoclosmatium globosum
Lineage: Eukaryota; Fungi; Chytridiomycota; Chytridiomycetes; Chytridiales; Chytriomycetaceae
Source: the annotation of a GenBank genome assembly